UUAAUUGAAGAGUUUGAUCAUGGCUCAGAUUGAACGCUGGCGGUAGGCUUAACACAUGCAAGUCGAGCGGAAACGAAGAAUAGCUUGCUAUUCUGGCGUCGAGCGGCGGACGGGUGAGUAAUGCUUGGGAAUCUGCCUAGUCGAGGGGGACAACAGUUGGAAACGACUGCUAAUACCGCAUACGACCUACGGGUGAAAGGGGGCCUCUUCUUGAAAGCUCUCGCGACUAGAUGAGCCCAAGUGGGAUUAGCUUGUUGGUGAGGUAAGAGCUCACCAAGGCGACGAUCCCUAGCUGGUCUGAGAGGAUGAUCAGCCACACUGGAACUGAGACACGGUCCAGACUCCUACGGGAGGCAGCAGUGGGGAAUAUUGCACAAUGGGCGAAAGCCUGAUGCAGCCAUACCGCGUGUAUGAAGAAGGCCUUCGGGUUGUAAAGUACUUUCAGCGAGGAGGAAAGGUGAUAAAUUAAUACUUUAUCACUGUGACGUUACUCGCAGAAGAAGCACCGGCUAACUCCGUGCCAGCAGCCGCGGUAAUACGGAGGGUGCAAGCGUUAAUCGGAAUUACUGGGCGUAAAGCGCAUGCAGGCGGUUUGUUAAGCGAGAUGUGAAAGCCCCGGGCUCAACCUGAACUGCAUUUCGAACUGGCAAACUAGAGUUCUUGAGAGGGUGGUAGAAUUUCAGGUGUAGCGGUGAAAUGCGUAGAGAUCUGAAGGAAUACCAGUGGCGAAGGCGGCCACCCGGCGAAGUAACUGACGCUCAGAUGCGAAAGCGUGGGUAGCAAACGGGAUUAGAUACCCCGGUAGUCCACGCCGUAAACGAUGUCUACUCGGAGUUUGGUUCCUUGAGAACUGGGCUCUUAAGCUAACGCAUUAAGUAGACCGCCCAGGGAGUACGGCCGCAAGGUUAAAACUCAAAUGAAUUGAUCGGGGGCCCGCACAAGCGGUGGAGCAUGUGGUUUAAUUCGAUGCAACGCGAAGAACCUUACCUACUCUUGACAUCCAUAGAACUUUUCAGAGAUGAAUUGGUGCCUUCGGGAACUAUGAGACAGGUGCUGCAUGGCUGUCGUCAGCUCGUGUUGUGAAAUGUUGGGUUAAGUCCCGCAACGAGCGCAACCCUUAUCCCUUAUUUGCCAGCACGUAAUGGUGGGAACUCUAAGGAGACUGCCGGUGAUAAACCGGAGGAAGGUGGGGACGACGUCAAGUCAUCAUGGCCCUUACGAGUAGGGCUACACACGUGCUACAAUGGCGCAUACAAAGGGCUGCAAACCAGCGAUGGUAAGCGAAUCCCAUAAAGUGCGUCGUAGUCCGGAUUGGGGUCUGCAACUCGACCCCAUGAAGUCGGAAUCGCUAGUAAUCGUGAAUCAGAAUGUCACGGUGAAUACGUUCCCGGCCUUGUACACACCGCCCGUCACACCAUGGGAGUGGGCUGCACCAGAAGUCAUUAGCUUAACCUUCGGAGGGCGAUGACCACGGUGUGGUUCAUGACUGGGGUGAAGUCGUAACAAGGUAGCCCUAGGGGAACCUGGCUGGAUCACCUCCCUUACGUAAAG
Molecule: ribosomal RNA, 1551 nt
Filed under: Moritella marina ATCC 15381
Lineage: Bacteria; Pseudomonadati; Pseudomonadota; Gammaproteobacteria; Alteromonadales; Moritellaceae
Description: bacterial SSU rRNA
Rfam family: Bacterial small subunit ribosomal RNA
Source: RNAcentral